UACGAACUGUGCGAACGUUAUUCGGAAUCACUGGGCUUAAAGGGUGCGUAGGCGGCUAUUCAGGUCAGGUGUGAAAGCCCCCGGCUCAACCGGGGAACUGCGCUUGAAACCGAGUGGCUCGAGUCAGCUAGAGGUACACGGAACUUCCAGUGGAGCGGUGAAAUGUGUUGAUAUUGGAAGGAACACCGGAGGCGAAAGCGGUGUACUGGGGCUGGUCUGACGCUGAGGCACGAAAGCCAGGGGAGCGAACGGG
Molecule: ribosomal RNA, 253 nt
Filed under: uncultured bacterium
Lineage: Bacteria
Description: partial 16S ribosomal RNA
Rfam family: Bacterial small subunit ribosomal RNA
Source: RNAcentral